This 71-nucleotide small RNA is filed under the name Arabidopsis thaliana (thale cress). Its description in RNAcentral is "ATSL159800". The record is from RNAcentral. Lineage: Eukaryota; Viridiplantae; Streptophyta; Magnoliopsida; Brassicales; Brassicaceae.
GUUUAUUAAAAUAUUGACGGUUACUUUUUCACAUUCGUUUCGUUUCAUCGUAACUUUUUGAUAUACUGUUA